UCUUAUCAAGAGUGGUAGAGGGACUGACCCCAUGAUACCCAGCAAUCUAUUUUUAUAUAUAAAUGAUAUAUAAAGUGUGCUGCUAAAUCCUGUAGCUUUUAGCUAGUAGAUGAG
RNAcentral lists this non-coding RNA (114 nucleotides) under Clostridium ihumii. RNAcentral describes it as "SAM riboswitch (S box leader)". It matches the Rfam family "SAM riboswitch aptamer (S box leader)". From Rfam's summary of the family: The SAM riboswitch is found upstream of a number of genes which code for proteins involved in methionine or cysteine biosynthesis in Gram-positive bacteria. The record is from RNAcentral. Lineage: Bacteria; Bacillati; Bacillota; Clostridia; Eubacteriales; Clostridiaceae.